CCUCCGACUCUGACUCUUCUUCGGGGGACUCUGACGCUAGCGAAGUGCGCAUCGACUCUCGAUCUGGGAAAAAAAUCAAGAUGAAGGUCGAUAAAGACGCAACAGAUGUUGCUAUGGAGCUCG
This 123-nucleotide non-coding RNA is filed under the name uncultured eukaryote. The record is from RNAcentral.